RNAcentral lists this ribosomal RNA (146 nucleotides) under Bridouxia ponsonbyi. RNAcentral describes it as "partial large subunit ribosomal RNA". The record is from RNAcentral. Lineage: Eukaryota; Metazoa; Mollusca; Gastropoda; Pleuroceridae.
UUAAAAAACAAAAUAGGGAUUAAUAUCUAAGAAAUAUACUUCUAUUAAGCUUUUUAGUUGGGGCGACUAAGGAACAAAUAAAGCUUCUUUUAAGGAAUUAUGCAAAUUAGCUCGGAUCCAGCAUCGCUGAUUAAGAAAAUUAGUUA